This 292-nucleotide ribosomal RNA is filed under the name uncultured bacterium. Its description in RNAcentral is "partial 16S ribosomal RNA". It matches the Rfam family "Archaeal small subunit ribosomal RNA", at positions 455 to 747 of the family's 1478-position model. The record is from RNAcentral.
GUGCCAGCCGCCGCGGUAAUACCAGCACCCCGAGUGGUCGGGACGAUUAUUGGGCCUAAAGCAUCCGUAGCCGGUUUUACAAGUCCUCCGUUAAAUCCAGCUGCUUAACAGAUGGGCUGCGGAGGAUACUAUAAGACUAGGAGGCAGGAGAGGCAAGCGGUACUCAGUGGGUAGGGGUAAAAUCCGUUGAUCCAUUGAAGACCACCAGUGGCGAAGGCGGCUUGCCAGAAUGCGCUCGACGGUGAGGGAUGAAAGCUGGGGGAGCAAACCGGAUUAGAAACCCUUGUAGUCC